CGCCAUGUUGCUUUCUCUUUCUACCUGCGCUCUACCUCUUGCUGUGACACUCUCCACUCUUCCUCCCCCUCCCUUCUUGUUUUGAGGAAGCAUUUCCUGUUUGCCAGCAUGGGAAUGUCGCCGGUCAACACGCAAACUAAAAAUAAUAUAUAUUAGAUGUGGCAGGACGGCACAGCCCGUCUCCACUCAUGUUGUGUAUGUGCUGGGUCAGUGGAUAGCUGUGUAGGCUCGCCCCUUUGCUCCCCGCCCAUUGAGUGACACUGGGCGGGGCUACUGAGCAAUUAUCCAAUUUCACCAGCGUACUGGGCGAGGCCAGCCAAAGCUAUAUAUGGGGGAGAGCUGCGCCUCUCAGAUGUGCGUCCCCCCACCUUAUCCGGAAACCUGAGCGUGUGUGUCGGCAGUGUGGUUUGGCGUGGCAGAAUUUGAUCCACGUGGCUGUCUUGAGACGCAGGUCGACGCGUCUCCUCUGCUCACUUUGCCAGAGUUGGCCUGUACUCUGGCCGGGGGUUGGGAGUGCGUGGCCUCGGAGCCGUGCGCAAUAAUCCGCGCACCGGGUUGGGAACCCUCAGGUAGGCUGGCUCGUGUGUGUCUGGCGUGUCUCAUGCGCUCUGUCGGGCUGCACAUUAUGUGACUCUGGUCUCUGUUUGCUGUUAGCAGCUAUAAAGGUGGUUGGUUGGUGGCUAUCUCUCCUGUUGCCUGUGACGCUGCGCCCUCACUCACGGGUAUGUAUGCGUGCUUGUUUUAAUCCAUCUAAUUGCAAGUCACGUAUUAAUUUUAGUCUGUAUCACAGCAGGUGGCUCCUCCUCUGACGUGGGCCGCUGCGCUGCUGCUGCUGUUCUGUCCACCUGUUCUGUCUCGGGUUCACCCCAGCAAGCUUAUUGUUCUCUUACAUUUGUGUCUAUUGUUUUUCGUUGUUUUGUUUUUUUGACAUCCUCAUUGUGUGUGUGCGCGGGUGUUUGGAGUUUCGCACGCCUGGAGUAAGUCAAUCUGGAUGAAACUCAAGUGUUGGCUUAACUGUAUGCAGUGCUGCUCAUGGGGAGGAAAUGAAUGCAGCAUAGGACUUAAAGCUACACCAAGAGGACUGAUCCACGUCAGCAAUCUAUUAGUAUCGGUUGAUUAUUGUUUCUUUGUAUUGUAAUUAGAUAAUUAUUUCGAUCAUUGGUGGAUUUUGUGACCGUUGUUGUUUUCUGUAGAUUUUUUUUGUGUUUAGUUAUCCAGUUAUUUUUGCAUAGGUUUUGGUUUCUUAUUUUUUUUCGUUUAUUAUUUGUUUGUUAUAUCAACAAAAGCACCAUCAACCUUGGUGGAGACCUCCUGGGCCCGGCAUAGUGUGGUGUUGGGGCAGUUUCUGGCUUGGUUUUGUUUUUUUUCUUGCCCCUUGCUUUGACUAAUAUCUGCCUCUUUUGUUGGACAGGAGCUGUUGGGCUGGUGUGGCGAGCGACUGACUGAUUCCUGCGGUGGCGGUCCCCUCACUUCCUGUACAGUAGUGCACAUGGGUGUCAGUUGAUGGUGUGUGGUUUCUUUUUUCUUCACGUGUGGUGUGCCUCAUCAGGACCCUUCCCCUCCCCCUCAGUCGUCGCCGCCUGGUGAGCCCUCAGCCCCUUUACACAGCACAUGCACUUUUUUUUUGGCAAACUUAACCAACCUGUCAAGAGGCCCCAGAGGAUUGUGCAAUAAUUUGCCUUUUGUUAUUAUUAUUGUAAUCUUGCUUGCAUCAUCACUGAGAUUGGUCAGCAUUUUAAAUUUUGAAAUAUCGUUAAUAAACUUUCUCUUUUAUAUUUUA
Molecule: non-coding RNA, 1780 nt
Organism: Epinephelus lanceolatus (giant grouper)
Lineage: Eukaryota; Metazoa; Chordata; Actinopteri; Perciformes; Serranidae
Source: RefSeq, a predicted model, not a curated record